Branchiostoma floridae (Florida lancelet) is the source of this 546-nucleotide long non-coding RNA. RefSeq lists it as uncharacterized. The record is from RefSeq and is a predicted model, not a curated record. Lineage: Eukaryota; Metazoa; Chordata; Leptocardii; Amphioxiformes; Branchiostomatidae. The transcript has 3 exons.
AACAAAUAUGAAAAGCACAGACACAGACAUUACUUCAUAACAUGUCCUACGUUGCUCCUACAAAAUUUAGUACUAUAGCUAUAAACACGAAUCAUUGUAAACGUCACGAAUAGCGCCCCCUUUCGGUAUUCUUGUGUACCGGAAAUCCAACAUGGCGGCUGGUCUGAUAGCAAGCAAUCAUGUGUAAUAACAUAAACUAUCAUAGUGGCCGCUAUGGGUGUUCAGACAACUUUACCGAUAUCUUGGUGAAGACGUAGAGAAGGAGAGAGACCACGGACAGGUACACGGUGAUCCUCUGUCCUCCAAACCGCUUCCUCAGAAAUGUAGACCGGAACAAAGAUCCAUCCCAACAUCACCAUGAUGAAUAUAGCCUGGAACACGGUUUGGGUUGUUCUGUACCAUCAGCAGGUGCGUUGUGUUGAGGGGCGGACUCGGUGACAGUUCCACGAGAAGUGACGUCCGAGAAGAUCGGCUCUACAAACUUCUCUCGCCCGCGGACAAGGAUGUAACGGCGAACCAGACGAGACAAGACCUCCUGGAAAAAAA